This 454-nucleotide ribosomal RNA is filed under the name uncultured Rikenellaceae bacterium. RNAcentral's name for it is "bacterial SSU rRNA". It matches the Rfam family "Bacterial small subunit ribosomal RNA", at positions 929 to 1382 of the family's 1533-position model. Lineage: Bacteria; Pseudomonadati; Bacteroidota; Bacteroidia; Bacteroidales; Rikenellaceae. The record is from RNAcentral.
GCGGAGGAACAUGUGGUUUAAUUCGAUGAUACGCGAGGAACCUUACCUGGGCUAGAACGCAUUCGGAAUCACGGCCGAAAGGCCUGCGCCAGCGAUGGCCGCUUGCGAGGUGCUGCAUGGUUGUCGUCAGCUCGUGCCGUGAGGUGUCGGGUUAAGUCCCAUAACGAGCGCAACCCCUACUGCUAGUUGCCAGCGGGUCAUGCCGGGGACUCUAGCGGAACUGCCAGCGUAAGCUGCGAGGAAGGUGGGGAUGACGUCAAAUCAGCACGGCCCCUACGUCCAGGGCUACACACGUGUUACAAUGGCCGGUACAGAGGGCAGCCACCCCGCGAGGGGGCGCGAAUCCCGAAAGCCGGUCCCAGUUCGGAUCGGAGUCUGCAACCCGACUCCGUGAAGCUGGAUUCGCUAGUAAUCGCGCAUCAGCCACGGCGCGGUGAAUACGUUCCCGGGCCUU